Non-coding RNA from Pelobates cultripes (western spadefoot toad), 354 nucleotides. The record is from the annotation of a GenBank genome assembly. Lineage: Eukaryota; Metazoa; Chordata; Amphibia; Anura; Pelobatidae.
CAGACGGACUGCCGAUUAAAUAUUACAAAACAUACGCCGAAGACUUAUACCCACCCAUGGUAGAGGCGUUCAACGCGAUAAGAGAUGGGAACCAUAUCCCCAGACAAGCCCUAACAGCCCACAUCACUAUUAUCCCCAAAGAUGGCAAAGAUAGGGAGCAAUGCGGAAAUUACAGACCGAUCUCACUUAUAAAUUGCGACAUUAAAUUACUGGCCAAAAUCCUGGCAACCCGACUUACAAAACACAUCCCUUCACUAGUCCACCCAGACCAGGUAGGGUUCGUGACAGGAAGAGAAGCUCGAGAUAACACCAUCAGGGCGCUCACCCUCAUGCACGGGAAAGAGAGUAUGAAAG